GGACCCGCACAAGCGGUGGAGCAUGUGGUUUAAUUCGAAGCAACGCGAAGAACCUUACCUAAACUUGACAUCCCGAUGACCGGAGGGUAAUGCCUCUUUUCUGUGCUUGCACAGACAUUGGAGACAGGUGGUGCAUGGUUGUCGUCAGCUCGUGUCGUGAGAUGUUGGGUUAAGUCCCGCAACGAGCGCAACCCUUAUCCUUAGUAGCCAGCAGUAAGAUGGGCACUCUAGGGAGACUGCCAAGGAUAACUUGGAGGAAGGUGGGGAUGACGUCAAAUCAUCAUGCCCCUUAUGUUUAGGGCUACACACGUGCUACAAUGGCUGCUACAAAGGGAAGCAAGCUAGUGAUAGUCAGCAAACCUCAAAAAAGCAGUCCCAGUUCGGAUUGUAGUCUGCAACUCGACUACAUGAAGUUGGAAUCGCUAGUAAUCGCGAAUCAGAAUGUCGCGGUGAAUACGUUCCCGGGUCUU
RNAcentral lists this ribosomal RNA (470 nucleotides) under uncultured bacterium. RNAcentral describes it as "bacterial SSU rRNA". It matches the Rfam family "Bacterial small subunit ribosomal RNA", at positions 917 to 1382 of the family's 1533-position model. The record is from RNAcentral.